AGAAUCAACGCUGGCGGCGUGCCUAACACAUGCAAGUCGAACGAGAAAGUGGAGCAAUCCAUGAGUAAAGUGGCGACCGGGUGAGUAACACGUGACUAACCUACCUUCGAGUGGGGAAUAACCUCGGGAAACCGGGCUAAUACCGCAUAAUGUCUUCGGACCAAAGGAGCAAUUCGCUUGAAGAGGGGGUCGCGGCCGAUUAGCUAGUUGGUGAGGUAAUGGCCCACCAAGGCAAUGAUCGGUAGCCGGCCUGAGAGGGCGCACGGCCACACUGGAACUGAAACACGGUCCAGACUCCUACGGGAGGCAGCAGUGGGGAAUCUUGCACAAUGGGCGAAAGCCUGAUGCAGCGACGCCGCGUGAGGGAAGAAGGCUUUCGGGUUGUAAACCUCUUUCAGGAGGGACGAAGCUACUCGGGUUAAUAGCCCAGAGGGUGACGGUACCUCCAGAAGAAGCCCCGGCUAACUACGCGCCAGCAGCCGCGGUAA
RNAcentral lists this ribosomal RNA (488 nucleotides) under uncultured bacterium. Its description in RNAcentral is "SSU rRNA". It matches the Rfam family "Bacterial small subunit ribosomal RNA", at positions 26 to 523 of the family's 1533-position model. The record is from RNAcentral.